UACGUAGGGUGCAAGCGUUGUCCGGAAUUAUUGGGCGUAAAGAGCUCGUAGGCGGUCUGUCGCGUCGGAUGUGAAAAUCCAGGGCUCAACCCUGGACCUGCAUUCGAUACGGGCAGACUAGAGUUCGGUAGGGGAGACUGGAAUUCCUGGUGUAGCGGUGAAAUGCGCAGAUAUCAGGAGGAACACCGGUGGCGAAGGCGGGUCUCUGGGCCGAAACUGACGCUGAGGAGCGAAAGCGUGGGUAGCAAACGGG
This 253-nucleotide ribosomal RNA is filed under the name uncultured bacterium. RNAcentral's name for it is "partial 16S ribosomal RNA". It matches the Rfam family "Bacterial small subunit ribosomal RNA", at positions 524 to 776 of the family's 1533-position model. The record is from RNAcentral.